This 253-nucleotide ribosomal RNA is filed under the name uncultured bacterium. Its description in RNAcentral is "partial 16S ribosomal RNA". It matches the Rfam family "Bacterial small subunit ribosomal RNA", at positions 524 to 776 of the family's 1533-position model. The record is from RNAcentral.
UACGAACCGUACAAACGUUAUUCGGAAUCACUGGGCUUAAAGGGUGCGUAGGCGGCCAUGUAAGUGAGGUGCGAAAUCCCUCGGCUCAACCGAGGAACUGCGCUUCAUACUGCAUGGCUUGAGGGAGACAGGGGUAAGCGGAACUGAUGGUGGAGCGGUGAAAUGCGUUGAUAUCAUCAGGAACACCGGUGGCGAAAGCGGCUUACUGGGUCUCUUCUGACGCUGAGGUACGAAAGCUAGGGUAGCGAACGGG